GGGGUGCUGUGCAACGAGGGCCACCCACGUGUGCAGCUCUUCCUGUUUCCAUGGUUCCUGCGGGUUUAUUUCCUCUCUGAACAUGCAUCGCUCAUUAUGAAUGUGGAGAUCACGUUCCUGACACGAAUGUGAAUUAUAAGAAGUAAAGAUUAAAAAGAAAACAAACUGCCAGCAACUCUAGUUCUUUUUUUCCCUGUGAGAACACUGUCAGCCCACUGUGGAACUGAAAUUCCAUAGCAUGAAGAAAUUUAAGUUGAUUUUAUGUAUCAUAAAGUUUAUGAAAAGACUCUUCACAGGUUCUAUAGCUGUCAACGGAAAAGUGUCACCUGCCAGAACAGUAAACAAUGGAUGUUACAGUCAUCAAGCCACUACAGACACUCCAGCGGGGCACCCUGAGGGGACUCAGGAGGAGAAAGCACCAGACACUGGCCCCAGAUGGCUGAGGGGCACAUCAAAGGAAUGACUUCUGUGAGCCAGACUCUUGCAUCUUCCUUUACACAGAAAAGUGCAAAAUUCCUUACUCUGAGAUGUCCGGUUUUCUUAACAGUAAUCCCUUGAUGUUCUAACUACCUGGUCUUUGUUGCAAAAACUCCUGUGUGUCCUGGCUCCUCCCUUACCUCUCUGGGGCAGUUCUUUAGGGUAGCUGUCCCCAGCCAUUUUGGUCCCAGUGACUGGUU
Molecule: long non-coding RNA, 677 nt
Filed under: Bos mutus (wild yak)
Lineage: Eukaryota; Metazoa; Chordata; Mammalia; Artiodactyla; Bovidae
Description: lncRNA (ENSBMUG00000003978.1)
Source: RNAcentral